Molecule: non-coding RNA, 267 nt
Organism: Arachis ipaensis
Lineage: Eukaryota; Viridiplantae; Streptophyta; Magnoliopsida; Fabales; Fabaceae
Source: RefSeq, a predicted model, not a curated record
UUUAAGUGCAGUCGACUUCACAUGAAGUUGAUAGUUGAGAUUAAAAACUUGUCAAAUUAUUUAAUGACUUUCAGCUAUCAAUUUCACAUGAAAUUAACUGCACAUGAAUUACUUUUGUAAUAAUAAGAGAACAUGUUGUAAUAAUAAGGGUUUAUAGUGAUACCCACAUGUAACAGCAAAUUACUUUGCUGCUAUUACCUAAAGUAAAUAAUACAACUAAGAAUAAAUUUUCAGUAUCUAAAGUCUAAACUGAGAAAAAUUUAUGGA